AUUGAUUUUAUGCUUGCAUAAAUGAUUUUUGGAUUCGGAGCGAGUGGCGAACUGGUGAGUAACACGUGGGUAACCUGCCCCGAAGCGGGGGAUAACAUUUGGAAACAAGUGCUAAUACCGCAUAAUUAGUUGGAACCGCAUGGUUCCAACUUGAAAGAUGGCUCUGCUAUCACUUUGGGAUGGACCCGCGCCGUAUUAGUUAGUUGGUGAGAUAAAAGCCCACCAAGACGAUGAUACGUAGCCGACCUGAGAGGGUAAUCGGCCACAUUGGGACUGAGACACGGCCCAGACUCCUACGGGAGGCAGCAGUAGGGAAUCUUCCACAAUGGACGAAAGUCUGAUGGAGCAACGCCGCGUGAGUGAUGAAGGUUUUCGGAUCGUAAAACUCUGUUGUUAAAGAAGAACAAGUGUUAGAGUAACUGUUAACACUUUGACGGUAUUUAACCAGAAAGCCACGGCUAACUACGUGCCAGCAGCCGCGGUAAUACGUAGGUGGCAAGCGUUGUCCGGAUUUAUUGGGCGUAAAGCGAGCGCAGGCGGUUUUGUAAGUCUGCUGUGAAAGCCCUCAGCUCAACUGAGGAAGUGCAGUGGAAACUACAAAACUUGAGUACAGAAGAGGAAAGUGGAACUCCAUGUGUAGCGGUGAAAUGCGUAGAUAUAUGGAAGAACACCAGUGGCGAAGGCGGCUUUCUGGUCUGUUACUGACGCUGAGGCUCGAAAGCAUGGGUAGCGAACAGGAUUAGAUACCCUGGUAGUCCAUGCCGUAAACGAUGAAUACUAGGUGUUGGAGGGUUUCCGCCCUUCAGUGCCGCAGCUAACGCAUUAAGCAUUCCGCCUGGGGAGUACGACCGCAAGGUUGGAACUCAAAGGAAUUGACGGGGGCCCGCACAAGUGGUGGAGCAUGUGGUUUAAUUCGAUGCUACGCGAAGAACCUUACCAGCUCUUGACAUCUUCUGCCAACCCAAGAGAUUGGGCGUUCCCUUCGGGGACAGAAUGACAGGUGGUGCAUGGUUGUCGUCAGCUCGUGUCGUGAGAUGUUGGGUUAAGUCCCGCAACGAGCGCAACCCUUAUUAUUAGUUGCCAGCAUUUAGUUGGGCACUCUAGUGAGACUGCCGGUGAUAAA
This 1123-nucleotide ribosomal RNA is filed under the name uncultured bacterium. RNAcentral describes it as "bacterial SSU rRNA". It matches the Rfam family "Bacterial small subunit ribosomal RNA", at positions 47 to 1162 of the family's 1533-position model. The record is from RNAcentral.